Molecule: ribosomal RNA, 506 nt
Filed under: uncultured bacterium
Lineage: Bacteria
Description: partial 16S ribosomal RNA
Rfam family: Bacterial small subunit ribosomal RNA
Source: RNAcentral
AUUGAACGCUGGCGGCAGGCCUAACACAUGCAAGUCGAACGGUAACAGGAAGCAGCUUGCUGCUUCGCUGACGAGUGGCGGACGGGUGAGUAAUGUCUGGGAAACUGCCUGAUGGAGGGGGAUAACUACUGGAAACGGUAGCUAAUACUGCAUAAUGUCGCAAGACCAAAGAAGGGGACCUUCGGGCCUCUUGCCAUCGGAUGUGCCCAGAUGGGAUUAGCUUGUUGGUGGGGUAACGGCUCACCAAGGCGACGAUCCCUAGCUGGUCUGAGGGGAUGACCAGCCACACUGGAACUGAGACACGGCCCAGACUCCUACGGGAGGCAGCAGUGGGGAAUAUUGCACAAUGGGCGCAAGCCUGAUGCAGCCAUGCCGCGUGUAUGAAGAAGGCCUUCGGGUUGUAAAGUACUUUCAGCGGGGAGGAAGGGAGUAAAGUUAAUACCUUUGCUCAUUGACGUUACCCGCAGAAGAAGCACCGGCUAACUCCGUGCCAGCCGCCGCCGUAA